RNAcentral lists this ribosomal RNA (394 nucleotides) under uncultured bacterium. RNAcentral describes it as "partial 16S ribosomal RNA". It matches the Rfam family "Bacterial small subunit ribosomal RNA", at positions 338 to 729 of the family's 1533-position model. The record is from RNAcentral.
CCUACGGGAGGCAGCAGUGAGGAAUAUUGGUCAAUGGACGGAAGUCUGAACCAGCCAUGCCGCGUGCAGGAAGACGGCUCUAUGAGUUGUAAACUGCUUUUGUACAAGGGUAAACCUGAAUACGUGUAUUCAGCUGAAAGUACUGUACGAAUAAGGAUCGGCUAACUCCGUGCCAGCAGCCGCGGUAAUACGGAGGAUCCAAGCGUUAUCCGGAUUUACUGGGUUUAAAGGGCGCGUAGGCGGAUCUAUAAGUCAGAGGUGAAAUCCCCGAGCUUAACUCGUGGACUGCCUUUGAUACUGUAGAUCUGGAGUGUAGAUGCGGUAGGCGGAAUGUAUGGUGUAGCGGUGAAAUGCGUAGAGAUCAUACAGAACACCGGUUGCGAAGGCAGCUUAC